UCAUUUGUCUAUUAAUUGUAGACCCGUAUGAAAGGCAUAAUGAGGGUUUAACUGUCUCUUUUAGUAAAUCAAUUAAACUGAUCUCCUACUCCAAAAGCUAGGAUACCAACAUAAGACCAGAAGACCCUGUGAAACUUUAACUAAAAUAUUAAAACCUAUAAUAUCUACUUUAGGUUGGGGCGACCUUGGAAAAUAAAAGAACUUCCACAUACACAUUAUACAUAAUGUACCACCGGCCAACAAGCCUACAACGACCCAGCACAGCUGAUAAUUGAACCAAGCUACUCCAGGGAUAACAGCGCUAUCUUCUUCAAGAGCCCAUAUCAAAAAGAAGGUUUACGACCUCGAUGUUGGAUCAGGACAUCCUAAUGGUGCAACCGCUAUUAAGGGUUCGUUUGUUCAACGAUUAAUAAUCCUACGUGAUCUGAGUUCAGACCGG
This 439-nucleotide ribosomal RNA is filed under the name Hydrophis schistosus (beaked sea snake). RNAcentral's name for it is "partial large subunit ribosomal RNA". It matches the Rfam family "Bacterial large subunit ribosomal RNA", at positions 1965 to 2619 of the family's 2925-position model. Lineage: Eukaryota; Metazoa; Chordata; Lepidosauria; Squamata; Elapidae. The record is from RNAcentral.